ACUGACAGUUGAGAAAAGAAGAAGAAUAAAGCUUACGUGAAUUUCCUAUGUGAAAAAUCAAAAAUUAAAUUUGGCCGAUAAGUUGAUUUUCCGAUUUGGAACUUUCAAAGGAUUUUAUAAAUAUUUUGAUGAACGAUUGCGAUCUCGGACUUUCCGAACUGAUAAAACUUAAUUUCGAGCAAUUUCAAAGUUGUCUUGAGUCAACUGGAAUCGAUUGGUAGGAAUAUUUUUGAUAAAAUAGAUGCCUGGAGACAGUGAAAUAGAUCAUCAAUUCUCCAGUUGUUGCAAAGUAACCAAACAUUAGAAGCUUUACCUGUAUUGCCAGGCGCAGAAGUCGACUUGUCCGUAGCAGAUAGAUCACAAAAAUAUUUCGUUAGCAAUCGAAGUAUUACAACAGGGGUCGAAUAUUGUCGCAAGUUCUUCGAAGCAGCUAGAAAAAUACACGCAAGGAACUGAAUGUAUUUCGAAACUAGAGGUAUCAGAGUCUGCAUGUUUUAUAAAUGAAGAAUGCCAAACAAGUUGUUUAACACCAACAUGCCCUGUGAUUGAAUUUUUGAGAUUUGAACAUGAAGCGUCACAGCACCGAAACAACGGUUAGACAGAUAUUCAGUCCUAAGGUUCUUUUCAAGCUGCUAGCAGACAGUGAAACUGGAAAAGAGGUUGUGCAACGAGCGAGUGUGGGAGAGCUAUCGGUAGCCGAGCAACUACAGCUGGCGGGAAUUAUAGCUAAAUACCAUCUUAAGUUGAAUAAAAAGUUAACCUCUGAUGACUUACAGAACUAUAGCCUUGCCGUCGUUACAUUAUUCAACAAAGAAAAACAGGAAAACUACUACAUACCACGAGGAGGGGACCGCUAAAACGCUGGAGGCAAAAUUUCGAAUAAGAUUGGUAAUUUGCGCCACAGAAAAAAAAAUAAUGAUAUGAGGGAAGAACAGCAAGCAAAAAAAUUUGAAAAAAAUUCGGCUACUUUGAGCAGUUCAAUCAAGGAAGCGACUCAAUGGCUCAUGCUAAAUCAGGAAUCUUGGUCCGCUGUGUUAGAUAGGUGGGCAACAAGUUUCUGUCAUCGGCAGCAUUUAAUGCAAGAUAAAAAAAAGACACACCGACUGUUACAGGACUUUCCAUAAUAUAGAAAUACAUUUGGGUAUCAAUUGAUUGAUCAAGAUUUCAAUAAACUUUUCCCAGACUCACCCAAUGCUUAGGCAUACUUAAAAAAAUCAGUAAGGAUAUAUCUGCUUUCUUUGAGUUGAAAUCGGUGGUCCCUUCAGCAGCUGGAUUAUUUAAACAUCUUAAACAUGCGAAGUCACGCGCACGACAAACGAAAGUAACUCAAAUUGCCUUUUUCCCAAGCAAACUCUGAACCUGAGUCCUCCACUCACCUCCUCUCGCCUGGUUUGCAGAAAGUCGCGAAGAAAUCAAAGCUAACUGCGUCAUAACUAAUAUUCGGCACACAUGUUAAAUCAGCACAUGGUUAUAGGUUCUGAUACAGGUGCAUCGACGAAAACCGCCAAAAACGUAAUAAAGGGCGGACGGCAGUUUUAAGAUGUAAGAAAGACAUAGUAUUAAAGAUAUCAAGCAUGUAAAUGGAAUCUAAAGUUACCCAAACCACUGUCAGGUGAUUAUGAACGUUACUUUAUAGUUAUAUGUCCAAUAAGUUCUGUAAUGUCAUGGCAUUGCCAUCAAAAUCAGGUUGUCAAGUUAUGGAAUAAGUCAGUAUCAGUUGUAAUUCAUUGAGGAUAGACUAUAAAAAAGUCAAGAAAAUGAUAGAGAUUAUAAACCUUUUGCUCGAGAAAAUAAGCAGUUUGGAUUUUUUCAAGUGUGUUGUGUAAGUGUAUUCAUAAAAAUUGAAGAAAACCGGGUGUAACUCAGCAAAGCUAUUUUAUGCAUAACACCAUAUCGAGUUUCAAGUUAAGCUUAUGGCGCGUGACAACCCACUUGAAAUCUAUCCAACUUUCUUUCUCAAAGCUCUAAUAAAAUUUACAAAACUGUUCUCAAGAAGUUUUAAAUAAAGAUAGAGCAACAUGAUUUUUUUCAUAUUUUUAAAAAUAGGAAAGACAUGCCUAUACAAGGCAUACUGCACAUAUUGUACCCCAAACUAAUUUUUUAAGUAUACUACGACGUUCAAGAUGUACGGAGAAAGGGAUAAUUUAUUUACUGAUACGUGAAAAUUUUAGCUGUUACAAAAAAAUUUGGAGUAUAAGAUAAACCCAUUCCCGACGGGUGACAUUCAAACUUUGAUUCAAGUUCAAUAAUUAUGCAAGAAAAUUUUCACGAUGAAAUUAUUCAGUAAGGUGAGAGAACAGAUUCAUCUUCAAUAUGCAAUAGAGUUUGUGUUAAUUGUGUAUAUAGUUGAUGAGUAAUAAAAGUUUGAAGUACAUUUUUUGAGGUGAAAACUGACUUCUCUCCGCCGGGAUCAGGUUAAACUAUUGGUCAUUAUUUUUAAACAUUAUGUACUAUUUUGAUUUAAGAUAUUGUUGAAUAUCGACAUGAAAUUUUCAAAGUUUUA
Molecule: long non-coding RNA, 2503 nt
Organism: Wyeomyia smithii (pitcher-plant mosquito)
Lineage: Eukaryota; Metazoa; Arthropoda; Insecta; Diptera; Culicidae
Exons: 7
Source: RefSeq, a predicted model, not a curated record